UGAGGCUUCUGCCUUGGAGCCAGCUGAUCACGGACAGAAUCCUCUGAAACAGUGUGCCAAAAUAAGCCAUUUCCUCCUCUAAAUUAUGGAUCUCAGAUGGGGAAACUGAGACAUGUGAUGGUGAAGUUCAUGGAGGGCUCUCCUCAGAAUCCUGUCUUCUUCACUUGAUGAGUUUGGUAAGGCAUGUGUGGGUCAAGUCUGUCACCAACCAUGCUCACCAAGAGACAGGGAUUUCCAGGAGGCAUGAAAAAAUGAGGCCGGAAGUGAGACCUUUCAAAUAAGUGUGCUGAACUCCAACAGUGGAAGGAGG
Molecule: long non-coding RNA, 310 nt
Organism: Heterocephalus glaber (naked mole-rat)
Lineage: Eukaryota; Metazoa; Chordata; Mammalia; Rodentia; Bathyergidae
Source: Ensembl